RNAcentral lists this ribosomal RNA (385 nucleotides) under Aphrania elongata. Its description in RNAcentral is "eukaryotic LSU rRNA". It matches the Rfam family "Eukaryotic large subunit ribosomal RNA", at positions 763 to 1138 of the family's 3401-position model. The record is from RNAcentral. Lineage: Eukaryota; Metazoa; Arthropoda; Insecta; Hemiptera; Cimicidae.
GGGCGUCUCUUACUCAUUACGAGUGGAGGCGCACCUGUAGCGCACACGCUGAUACCCGAAAGAUGGUGAACUAUGCCUGGCCAGGACGAAGCCAGGGGAAACCCUGGUGGAGGUCCGCAGCGAUUCUGACGUGCAAAUCGAUCGUCGGAGCUGGGUAUAGGGGCGAAAGACCAAUCGAACCAUCUAGUAGCUGGUUCCCUCUGAAGUUUCCCUCAGGAUAGCUUGCAUUCGGUUGAGACGAGUCUCAUCCGGUAGAGCGAAUGAUUAGAGGCCUUGGGGUCGAAACGACCUCAACCUAUUCUCAAACUCCAAAUAGAUGAGAUCCCCGGCUUGCUUGAAAGUGAAGCCGCGGGAAUCGGAUCAGAGUGCAAAGUGGGCCAAUUUU